This 408-nucleotide ribosomal RNA is filed under the name uncultured Lactobacillus sp. RNAcentral's name for it is "bacterial SSU rRNA". It matches the Rfam family "Bacterial small subunit ribosomal RNA", at positions 119 to 511 of the family's 1533-position model. The record is from RNAcentral. Lineage: Bacteria; Bacillati; Bacillota; Bacilli; Lactobacillales; Lactobacillaceae.
GGGCAAUCUACCCUUUAGCUUGGGAUACCACUUGGAAACAGGUGCUAAUACCAAAUAAGAAGUAAGAGCGCAUGCUCAAGCUAUGAAAGGCGGCUUUCGAGCUGUCACUAAAGGAUGAGCCCGCGGUGCAUUAGCUAGUUGGUAAGGUAACGGCUUACCAAGGCAAUGAUGCAUAGCCGAGUUGAGAGACUGAUCGGCCACAUUGGGACUGAGACACGGCCCAAACUCCUACGGGAGGCAGCAGUAGGGAAUCUUCCACAAUGGACGCAAGUCUGAUGGAGCAACGCCGCGUGAGUGAAGAAGGUUUUCGGAUCGUAAAGCUCUGUUGUUGGUGAAGAAGGACAUGGAUAGUAACUGAUCUAUGUUUGACGGUAAUCAACCAGAAAGUCACGGCUAACUACGUGCCAG